GAAUCUUAAAGUAGCCAUGGACAAGAUUGCUCAGUGGACCCAGUCCAGGAAGAGGCCAAUGGCCACUCCACCCAUGAUCUCUCAUGACUGGCAAAUUCUUUCCUCCUCCUGCAUCUGCUAACUGGCCUGUGGGAACCUGGAAGUCCUGCCUCUUCCACCCCACCAUUGGCUGCUGGCAUCUUUAUUGAUUGAUCAAGAACCAAUUGAUGAACAGGAUCUUCAGCAUUCCCAAUUCCUGAACAGAGCAUCAGAACCACGCCCUAUAAAAGUAUGCCAGCUGUUCUUGUCAGUCUCAUGCAGCCCAGGCUCACCUUAAACUGCAGUGGAGCAUGUUGGACUUCCCGAUCAUCCUGGGGACGAAGACGAAGUUCUUAUGACAAGACUUUCACUAACUGAGC
This is a long non-coding RNA of Rattus norvegicus (Norway rat), 398 nucleotides long. The record is from Ensembl. Lineage: Eukaryota; Metazoa; Chordata; Mammalia; Rodentia; Muridae.